Molecule: ribosomal RNA, 468 nt
Filed under: uncultured bacterium
Lineage: Bacteria
Description: partial 16S ribosomal RNA
Rfam family: Bacterial small subunit ribosomal RNA
Source: RNAcentral
GACGAACGCUGGCGGCGGGCUUAACACAUGCAAGUCGAACGGAAAGGCCCUGCUUUUGUGGGGUUCCCGAGGGGCGGACGGGUGAGGAACACGUGAGUAACCUGCCCUAGACUUUGGGAGAGCUUCAGGAAGCGGGGGCUAAUACCGGAUAGGAGCUCCUGCUGCAGGGUGGGGGGUGGAACGUUUCGGCGGUUGGGGAUGGAUGCGCGGCUUAUCAGCUUGUUGGUGGGGUAGUGGCUUACCAAGGCUUGGACGGGUAGCCGGCCUGAGAGGGUGGACGGGCACAUUGGGCCUGAGAUACGGCCCAGACGCGUACGGGAGGCAGCAGUGGGGAAUCUUGCCCAAUGGGCGGGAGCCUGAUGAAGCAACGCCGCGUUCGUGAUGCCGGCUUUUGGGGUGUAAACAGCUUUAGGCUGAGACGAAGCGGGAGUGACGGUAAUGGGUAAAGAAGCACCGGCUAACUACGUG